This 197-nucleotide unclassified non-coding RNA is filed under the name uncultured Sebacina. RNAcentral describes it as "sequence contains ITS2". The record is from RNAcentral. Lineage: Eukaryota; Fungi; Basidiomycota; Agaricomycetes; Sebacinales; Sebacinaceae.
UACUCUCACACUUCCGAUCUUUGGAUUGGGAGUGGUGGACUUGGGUGUUGCUGCUUUACUGUGGCUCGCCUCAAAUGGAGUAGUGCAACUCUUGGUUGGACAUAGUACGGCGUGAUAAGUGUCUUCGCCGGCACCUCACUAGAGGGUGGCUGAUCAGGAGCUCUGUGCUUCAAACCGUCUUCGGACAACAUCUGACA